Telopea speciosissima is the source of this 234-nucleotide long non-coding RNA. RefSeq lists it as uncharacterized. The record is from RefSeq and is a predicted model, not a curated record. Lineage: Eukaryota; Viridiplantae; Streptophyta; Magnoliopsida; Proteales; Proteaceae. The transcript is spliced from 3 exons.
CCAGGUUUAGAACCAAAACCUGGUUGAAACCUCAGAAUUUUUUGGGCCAAAAUCGAAACCUAGGUUUCAAGGCCCAGAAAAUGGGUUUUUGACCCUUUUUUUGUGCUGCCUAUUUUUACCAUUUUACACCUAUUCCAUGAAUUAGUUUCACAAGAAAUUCACCCAAAGUCUUACUUGUGGUUCGGACCCAAGUUUUCUAGUAUAUCCUGACUGUUUUUUAAACACUGACCUCAU